This is a non-coding RNA of Momordica charantia (bitter melon), 770 nucleotides long. Lineage: Eukaryota; Viridiplantae; Streptophyta; Magnoliopsida; Cucurbitales; Cucurbitaceae. The record is from RefSeq and is a predicted model, not a curated record.
GGUGGAGGAGCUGAAGCUGUAAACUCUGAUGCUGUCGUUUCGGCUUACGACUCUUGAACGUAGAUGUGAGCAAGCCGGUUGAGUAUCAAACUUUUCACCUACAAGUCUUGCAUUUCCCUAUGACUUUGACUUGUUGCUUUCAAGAGUGAAGAUUGUUCCUACGAACCAACACAAAUCCUUUUAGAAUAUUUUAUUCUCGGUCUCAUGCUUUUUUGGAAAAUACCUUAGGAGGUCAUUUAAUAUAGAAUUGUUUCAAGCCAAGUCCACUCUACUUUGGAGUUCCUAUGCACGGACCACUUGAAAAAGCGUUUUUGGCCCCCAUUUUGAUUGAGUGCAAGCUACAAAGCUAGACAUGAGCCUUCAUUUUGAAGGCAACCCUAGCUAUGGCGGAAUAUUUUCUUGAUGUGCCAAUGUCUUUGGCUUUGUUCACCCAAGAAAACCUUUUUGAAUUUAAGGCCACGACCUUCCUUUCCCAGAACUGAAAUGAAAAAAUGGUUGAAAGAACCAGGAGCUCUAACGCCUCACGAUUCAAGCCGUUGUUGAGUCUUCUCACAUGUACCACUUCUGCAUUCCAUCUUAAUUGGCAUUGGCUAUUGAGAAGAUUCUGUGUAACUUCCUGUCGGAAGGUAAGAAAUGGAUUUUUUUUUUUUGGCUUCUCUAUUAUAUGUUUCACUGAUUAAUAAAAUAUUUGUUUUUCUUUUAAAAAGAAAAUAAUGUAAUAUUUUGUAUACAUAUUACUACUUAUAAGUGUGAUAAUUUUGUUUGUGAUC